Molecule: long non-coding RNA, 467 nt
Organism: Thalassophryne amazonica
Lineage: Eukaryota; Metazoa; Chordata; Actinopteri; Batrachoidiformes; Batrachoididae
Exons: 3
Source: RefSeq, a predicted model, not a curated record
AAAAGUUAGUAAAUCACAUCUACUACUAUAAGCAACAUGUUGGUUGUAGUGUCCCACAACAGCAUGUACUCAAGAUUCUUGAAAUGGAGCAAUAUCUCCAACUGGUGGACAUUUGCCAUUAAUGCAGGUGCAACAGUAUUUUGCUAAGAGGUCAAGUAUAUUAUACAUAUACUACCGUCAAACAUUUGGACACACUUGCCCAUUCAAUUAACCCUAACCCUAAAACCAGAGAAGUCCAUUCGUCCCCCGCCCUCCCCCCAUUCUUUUUGCAAAUGGGCAUUAAUUUUAGGAUAAUAAUGAAUUAAAAAAAAAACAAUUAAAAUUUUACAAGGAAUGCUCACAUCUACUACUAUAAGUAACAGGUUGGUUGUAGUGUCUCACAACAGCCUAUACUCAAGGUUCUUGAAAUGGAGCAAUAUCUCCAACUGGUGGACAUUUAGCAUUAAUGUAGGUAUAAUUGAGUUUUG